This 800-nucleotide ribosomal RNA is filed under the name uncultured bacterium. RNAcentral's name for it is "bacterial SSU rRNA". It matches the Rfam family "Bacterial small subunit ribosomal RNA", at positions 8 to 821 of the family's 1533-position model. The record is from RNAcentral.
AGAGUUUGAUCCUGGCUCAGGAUGAACGCUGGCGGCGUGCUUAACACAUGCAAGUCGAACGAUGAUCCCAGCUUGCUGGGGGAUUAGUGGCGAACGGGUGAGUAACACGUGAGUAACCUGCCCUUAACUCUGGGAUAAGCCUGGGAAACUGGGUCUAAUACCGGAUAUGACUCCUCAUCGCAUGGUGGGGGGUGGAAAGCUUUAUUGUGGUUUUGGAUGGACUCGCGGCCUAUCAGCUUGUUGGUGAGGUAAUGGCUCACCAAGGCGACGACGGGUAGCCGGCCUGAGAGGGUGACCGGCCACACUGGGACUGAGACACGGCCCAGACUCCUACGGGAGGCAGCAGUGGGGAAUAUUGCACAAUGGGCGAAAGCCUGAUGCAGCGACGCCGCGUGAGGGAUGACGGCCUUCGGGUUGUAAACCUCUUUCAGUAGGGAAGAAGCGAAAGUGACGGUACCUGCAGAAGAAGCGCCGGCUAACUACGUGCCAGCAGCCGCGGUAAUACGUAGGGCGCAAGCGUUAUCCGGAAUUAUUGGGCGUAAAGAGCUCGUAGGCGGUUUGUCGCGUCUGCCGUGAAAGUCCGGGGCUCAACUCCGGAUCUGCGGUGGGUACGGGCAGACUAGAGUGAUGUAGGGGAGACUGGAAUUCCUGGUGUAGCGGUGAAAUGCACAGAUAUCAGGAGGAACACCGAUGGCGAAGGCAGGUCUCUGGGCAUUAACUGACGCUGAGGAGCGAAAGCAUGGGGAGCGAACAGGAUUAGAUACCCUGGUAGUCCAUGCCGUAAACGUUGGGCACUAGGU